RNAcentral lists this long non-coding RNA (2138 nucleotides) under Mus musculus (house mouse). RNAcentral describes it as "long non-coding RNA chr1:133301292-133303430". The record is from RNAcentral. Lineage: Eukaryota; Metazoa; Chordata; Mammalia; Rodentia; Muridae.
CUGGAUCGGGAGGAUUCCACCUGUUUUUGCCUCUCUCUGGCUUCUGGAAAGUGCUCCUUCAUGACAUCCCCUAUCUGCAUAGUUCAAGCACCCCAAAUCUGCCCCUUCCUCCUUAAAGACUGGUAGAUGGGAUCAGCUCCCAGGUUACCCUCUCUCCCCAUACCCUCUUCCAAAAGAAACAAAAUGUUAGGGCUUUCCCCGUCGUUGUCUCUCCUUUUUUUAAAAAGUGGUAUUUUUUAGAAAUACAUGUGGAAUACCAAGAAAUGUCUUUGCCUCCCCACCACUCUCACCUACAUUUCAUAAAGCUGGCUCUUUAUGUUGCUUUACAUGGCCUUAAUAUAUGUUUUAUGGAAGUGAUCAUGUCAUAGUAUCCAUGUAAUAUAUUUGUCUGGAUGUCAACCCUUUCCUCAGCUCCUGCCCCAACCUGUUUUUCUGUCCACGUCAUUUUUAGCAUAUUCAAGCCACACCCCUUGCCUUUUUGAUCCAAAGAAGGGGAGAGGAAAGAUUUAUUUUAAAGGCAGACCUAUUCUAUGCUUUUGUUUAAAAAGCAGAUCUAUUUUCAAAAUGUGCAAUGUCUGAAAGGGAUUGGUGAUGUGUGAGGGACCGGGGUGGCCGUCCCUGGUCCCAGUCUGUGUCCCUUCCUCUACCCCAGUGGCUUCCCUCCCAUUACCCAGUCAUUGUAAAGGGCUGGUCCCCAGGUUCGCCCGGACUGCAUCCUGCAGGAAAAGGACAUUCCCUCGAAUGUCCUGGUCUAAGAAUUUGACUUUACUGUCAACUUUAGGAAGCAGACCAAGGGAUGCCAAGCACGUGAGGGAAGCGGGUCGGGCAUCUGAGGGAAUGUUUACAAGUACAGACGUGCAGUCCCCACAUGGCCCCUGGACCACCUCCCAUCACCCCUCUGUGAGAAAAGGCCAACAGGUUGCUGGCAGCCAUCUUGAAGGAUGUCAGUCUGCUCCCUGACAGACCCAAGACACCAGGUGGAUCCCUGAGAGUGGGUUGGGGACCCCCUGUGUUCUUUGGUGAAUACUAGGAGCUGCCUGGGCCUCUCACAGUUUCUCCUGAGCCCACUCUGUGUCAUACCUAUUUCCCUCUAAAACUUUUUUUUCCUUGGAGUUAUGGCACAUCGGUCUGGCAUCCAGACUUGAAGCCUGGUUCCUGGCUGGGAAGAGCCCCCACAGUCAAUGUCAAAGCCUAAAUCUUUCCCAAGAAGGAGCCCUCUGUGCUUUGACAGGCUGGGGGCUGGAGUUCUGCUGUGGCAGCUCAGCUCGGCAAGCUUGCUUUCUGACAGGUGAUGUGAGCAAGGAGGUUGGGAAGCUUACAGACCUCUCCCCAGAUCUGAAGUGAUGUGUUUGGGAAUUUGACAGCACUUCUGGCCGGCUUUUGAAGCCUGACCUCCAACUCUGGCAUUUGUUGGCCCUCUUCCCAGACUGGAAGCUCUUGCUGUGAGUGAACAGGGCCCAGGCAUAGGCCUAGGGCUAAGCACCCCAUCUGGGGAAAGUCCUGGCCACCCACACAGGGCCUUCCCAGUGAACACAUUACCUCCUCCACCAAAAAAGCCAAAAGGCUGUGAUCAGAUCAGAUACUGCUACCGUCACUUUAAAAGGAUUGUUCUCAGGAAGCAAGCUUGCAAGCAGCAAGUGUGCUCUCCUGCCUUUGUGAAAGGCAUGUUCUUGGGGCAAGGCUAUUGCAAGAUGGAAUCCUUUCCUUCCCCAUUAGGCACCCUCCUCCUGGCAGCUCUUUAAACUAAGGAAAAAUACUAUAUAUAAAUAUAUAUAUACAUAUCUAUUUAUGCACAUAUUUGGGGCCAAUUUGGUUUGCUAGUGUUAGACAAUAAACCAUACAAGGAAAUCUAUGCUCUCAGUGUCUUUAUUUAGUAUGGAAGUGACCUUAGACAAAGAGUUAAGGUUAGAUGAGCAGCCUCUCUGUUGGGACCACACCGUGGUAGCAUCCCCUGAGCAUCUGUCUAGCCGACCACCCUCCCCUGGAGAAGGGUCGCCUGGCUGAAGUAGGUGAGAACUUGCUCCCUCCAUUCAGUGGCGGCAAUCUUACUGGAUUAGGUAGGAAGAACCCCAGGGAGCUCUGAUUUGUAUCUUGCAAGUUUGUAUAAACCAAUACCGGAAAUAAAAUGAGUGGUUUGU